This 465-nucleotide ribosomal RNA is filed under the name uncultured bacterium. Its description in RNAcentral is "partial 16S ribosomal RNA". It matches the Rfam family "Bacterial small subunit ribosomal RNA", at positions 28 to 507 of the family's 1533-position model. The record is from RNAcentral.
GACGAACGCUGGCGGCGUGCUUAACACAUGCAAGUCGAACGGAAAGGCCCUGCUUGCAGGGUACUCGAGUGGCGAACGGGUGAGUAACACGUGGGUGUUCUGCCCUUCACUUCGGGUUAAGCCUGGGAAACUGGGUCUAAUACCGGAUAGGAGCCAUUUUUAGUGUGAUGGUUGGAAAGUUUUUUCGGUGUAGGAUGAGCUCGCGGCCUAUCAGCUUGUUGGUGGGGUAAUGGCCUACCAAGGCGGCGACGGGUAGCCGGACUGAGAGGGUGGACGGCCACAUUGGGACUGAGAUACGGCCCAGACUCGUACGGGAGGAAGCAGGGGGGAAUAUUGAACAAUGGGCGCAAGCCUGAUGCAGCGACGCCGCGUGGGGGAUGACGGCCUUCGGGUUGAAAACUCCUUUCGCUAGGGACGAAGCUUUUUGUGACGGUACCUAGAUAAGAAGCACCGGCUAACUACGUG